ACAGGUCCUAGGAGAGACUGGCAUGCCACCCCACACAGGAGCCAUAUAGGAGGAGCACCUGGAGAGCAUUCUCAACGAAGCAGAAGAGUGGGGCCCCCUAGCUCCUCUCCAGGCCUCUGGGCCCCAGGCUCCUAGAAGAAACAGAGACAGCCUCUCCCGGCCGGCUGCAGAACAAGAACUACGCUACCACGCGCGCCACAACCAGAGAAGCCCGCGGGCCCCAACGAAGACGUAGCGCAUAAUGAAUGAAUGAAUGAGUGAAUAAAUAAAAUAAUUUUUAAAAAAGAAUCACACUACCCAGUAGGCUGUGCUUUGCGGGAUGGCUGUGAGGGCCGGAAUGAUGGCGUCACAGAAAAGGGGCGUUACUGGCUCGCGUUGUCAGGGGCGGGACUUCCUGCGCCGGAGGAGCGGGGUUUUCUUUGUGGUGAGGCUGGUGUGUCCCCACCCACUACGAGCUCUUCCCGGGACUUAGGGAAGGAGCGGGGAGGACAGCCUGGAGGGCCCACCUGUGCCUUUGUACGACCUGGGGGAGGGUCAGCUAAGCCCGCUGGACCCGCCGGUCUCCGGCGCCCUCACGUGGCCCUACGCUCCCCGCGGUGCGAUGGCAGCGCUGGUGACCCCGGCGCAGGUGGUGGUGACCUUUAAGAAUGUGGCUGUGACCAAGAGGAGUGGGGACAACUUGACCUGGACCAGAGGACUCUGUACCAGGAGGUGAUGCUGGAGACCUGUGAGCUACUGUUCUCACUGGGCUACCAAUCCUGAGUGGACCUCCCAACCCAUUGAUGACCUUCGUCAGAACAAGAAAAACUUCCCUGGGUCAGAAGCAGAUGACAUCUGAGUAGACAGCUCAUCGCAAGAGUCGAGACCAGGCCUGUAACCCCAACUUUGUUGAUAGUUUCAGACUGUUUUUCUUUUUUUUAACUGAGGUACCUAUAUACUUGACCUUGUCACAUUGAGGGUCAGUAAGCCUUUUUACCCCUUCCUCAUGUUUUCUUUAAUCCUGAUAAUCCUAAUAUUGGAAUUAUUCAUCUGUCAUAAAAUCUUUACCUUGAGGAAUGACAAAUUGAAAUUGUAAUGGUGUAAUCAUACUCAGGCAUACAAAAUGGAGUUGAGCAGCCAUUAAGGAUCAGAUCUCAGACACAUCCUGGCAUCACUGAGAAUUUGAACUUUCUUUGAACUGUACCAAACCCAAGGACACCAUCAGCCAUAUUUAGAACACUCAGAAGCUUCACCCUUUUGGUCUAAAAUUUCCCCUUGUAACUGCAACCAUUUUGAACCCCAACCAAUCCUUGUUAACAAGCUGCCUUAUUUCUUGCUUGCUCCAAUUAUAAUUCCUGACAGACAACUAUGUAACUCACUAUGGCCUUGCAGUUUUUGCCUUCCAUUUUAACCUUUCUCCAUUUUGUAGUAUAGUAGAAUACAAUUCACAUGCUCCUUGA
Long non-coding RNA from Aethalodelphis obliquidens (Pacific white-sided dolphin), 1439 nucleotides. RefSeq lists it as uncharacterized. Lineage: Eukaryota; Metazoa; Chordata; Mammalia; Artiodactyla; Delphinidae. The transcript is spliced from 4 exons. The record is from RefSeq and is a predicted model, not a curated record.